Anas platyrhynchos (mallard) is the source of this 926-nucleotide long non-coding RNA. RefSeq lists it as uncharacterized. NCBI's taxonomy places the organism in Eukaryota, Metazoa, Chordata, Aves, Anseriformes, Anatidae. The record is from RefSeq and is a predicted model, not a curated record.
UAGAAGUGCACCUGUGGUCAGAGACCACCCAAUUGCAGCAGCUCCAUUUUGCAAGGCUUAGAGUGAGCCCUCAGAGAGGACUUAGAGUGCACCCUUAAGAACCAAAUGUAAUUUUAAGCCCUCCAGAUGUGUCUGCUGCACUGCUAAGGAUGUGGCUUUGUUACAGACUGUGAAGGGAAGUGCAGAAGCAAAAUACCUUCAGAAAAGCCAUCCCAACAAUGCUUCCUGCAUCCUGAGAAGGAGAGACCUAUCUUCCUAGGUUCUUCACGUGAUGCCAGUAACCGCCAUGGAAGAUUCUUAGACCAAUUCCAGAUAACUAUAUUUUCACGAUGUUCCAAGCUUUUGCAACUUUGAGUUUUGUUUCGACCACUAAACUCUGUGGAGACUGAAACAUGAAUAACAGCCCUGGCUUUCCCAUGGUGGCCCACUGCUGCUAACAGUAUGAGAUCUGUGACAUUUCCCAAACAGGAUAUGCCCUAAUUCCAACAGUUGCAGCAACUAUUUCAGGCAGUCCCAAGCUAAAGAUAAUCCUUACUUUCCUUGCUCAGGUAUGACCAGCUACAUUUUCUAACUGCAGCCAGUAUCUGUAGAAUCAUCUAACUUUAUGCUGUCCUUCAGCUUUCAACAAGGAAAUACAAAAACCAUGUGGAAUCCAGGAGAUGAAAAUUGUACCUCAAGGCAAAAGAACCAGAGCCUGUCUUUUAAUUCCAGUUCAACUCAAUUCACAUUAACAUAGUUUCUGUGCACAAGUACAGAAAUGUACAAAAUAUUUCCCAUGAAACCACCAUAUCCAGGCUACAUUAAUCUCCCUUUUCCCAUGCAGCCAACCUGGGGCUUCUUUGCCCUGGGACUGGACAUUCUGAAGCUGCUGUGUUCUGGUGGGAAGUCCUGGCUAAAUGGUCAAAUUUUCCUUUUCCCCUCCAGAU